Molecule: ribosomal RNA, 298 nt
Filed under: uncultured soil bacterium
Lineage: Bacteria
Description: partial 16S ribosomal RNA
Rfam family: Bacterial small subunit ribosomal RNA
Source: RNAcentral
GAUGAGCAUGCGUCCCAUUAGCUAGUUGGUGUGAUAACGGCACACCAAGGCAACGAUGGGUAGGGGUCCUGAGAGGGAGAUCCCCCACACUGGUACUGAGACACGGACCAGACUCCUACGGGAGGCAGCAGUGAGGAAUAUUGGUCAAUGGGCGCAAGCCUGAACCAGCCAUGCCGCGUGCAGGAUGACGGUCCUAUGGAUUGUAAACUGCUUUUGUACAGGAAGAAACACUCCCUCGUGAGGGAGCUUGACGGUACUGUAAGAAUAAGGAUCGGCUAACUCCGUGCCAGCAGCCGCG